This 439-nucleotide ribosomal RNA is filed under the name uncultured bacterium. RNAcentral describes it as "partial 16S ribosomal RNA". It matches the Rfam family "Bacterial small subunit ribosomal RNA", at positions 339 to 795 of the family's 1533-position model. The record is from RNAcentral.
CUACGGGGCGCUCCAGUGAGGAAUAUUGCACAAUGGGGGGAACCCUGAUGCAGCAACGCCGCGUGGAGGAUGACGCAUUUCGGUGUGUAAACUCCUUUUAUAUGUCAAGAAAAUGACGGUAGCAUAUGAAUAAGCACCGGCUAACUCCGUGCCAGCAGCCGCGGUAAUACGGAGGGUGCAAGCGUUACUCGGAAUCACUGGGCGUAAAGGACGCGUAGGCGGGUUGGAAAGUCAGGUGUGAAAUCCUACAGCUUAACUGUAGGACUGCACUUGAAACUUCUAAUCUAGAGUAUGGGAGGGGGAGAUGGAAUUAAUGGUGUAGGGGUAAAAUCCGUAGAUAUCACUAGGAAUACCUAAAGCGAAGGCGAUCUCCUGGAACAUUACUGACGCUAAGGCGUGAAAGCGUGGGGAGCAAACAGGAUUAGAUACCCGGGUAGUC